UAUUAAAAAUUUCACUACUUCUAUUGUUAAAAAUUGGCAUGGCUGAGGAAAUAACUUGAUAGAUGCACGUCACGUGUACCUCAUUCUAACAUAUAUGGACCAGUUUUUAAUAGUAAAAAUAAAUUAAAUUUUUAACA
This is a non-coding RNA of Gossypium raimondii (Peruvian cotton), 137 nucleotides long. The record is from Rfam. Lineage: Eukaryota; Viridiplantae; Streptophyta; Magnoliopsida; Malvales; Malvaceae.